GUGCCAGUAGCUCAGUAGGAUAGAGCAACUGCCUUCUAAGCAGUAGGUCGGGAGUUCGAAUCUCUCCUGGCACGCCA
Molecule: transfer RNA, 77 nt
Filed under: Clostridia bacterium
Lineage: Bacteria; Bacillati; Bacillota; Clostridia
Description: tRNA-Arg
Rfam family: tRNA
About the family: Transfer RNA (tRNA) molecules are approximately 80 nucleotides in length.
Source: RNAcentral